Neltuma alba is the source of this 575-nucleotide long non-coding RNA. RefSeq lists it as uncharacterized. The transcript has 2 exons. The record is from RefSeq and is a predicted model, not a curated record. Lineage: Eukaryota; Viridiplantae; Streptophyta; Magnoliopsida; Fabales; Fabaceae.
UGCAGCAAAUGACAAUGAUAAAGGCUCAAGCUGGGGUGAAGAAUAAUUUGAGAAGAUUGAACAAGAGCAUCUUUCAAAACGAAAAUGAGACUAAAAGGCUGCCCAGCUUCCAGGUCGAAAGAAAUGCUACUUCAGAGUUUCUUUGGACCCUCACAUGAUGCCUGAUUCUGCUGUGAAGAUCAGCUCCUUGAACCCCAGGGGGUUCGCAUAUCUGACUCUUCUAUAUGUAUGUGGUAUUUAGUUGGGUGAAGCGUCCUUCAUGAAAUUAAUUGUUGUGCCUCUGUGUGUGUGUGUGACUUCUCGUCGUGUUGGUCGGAGAAUGUCCUUACGGCUCAGGCAUCCUGUUGAUGGCGGCAUACUUUUGAUUGGCUUCUAAUAUUCGACUUCCGAAUUCUUCACGCACAACCGAUAAUUCUACAAAGGGUGGAAGUGAACUGCAGGACUCAUAGAUAUCGUCUAGUUUUAGAUGCAAGUGUUGUGUUUUUGUUCAAGGUUGCUCAAUUAAGUUGUGUGCAAGUGCGCUAAUUAAUUAUUUACUGUUUUUCCGAUUAUUAAUAUAAGACCUAUUUAACUAA